AAUGCCCCUUGAGGCGUUGCAGUUCAACUCUGUGUUGCAACUGUGUCAUAAGGUGGCAAAGAGAAACUGGUGGUAGUCUGCACUGAGACUCUACAAACACACCGAGCUCUCAGAGUGAUUCUCACCACCAACAUU
Molecule: small nucleolar RNA, 135 nt
Filed under: Monopterus albus (swamp eel)
Lineage: Eukaryota; Metazoa; Chordata; Actinopteri; Synbranchiformes; Synbranchidae
Description: Small nucleolar RNA SNORA17 (ENSMALG00000007150.1)
Rfam family: Small nucleolar RNA SNORA17
About the family: snoRNA ACA 17 belongs to the H/ACA family of snoRNAs and is predicted to guide pseudouridylation of the 28S rRNA at positions U4659 and U4598. It shares the same host gene together with ACA43.
Source: RNAcentral